This 464-nucleotide ribosomal RNA is filed under the name uncultured bacterium. RNAcentral's name for it is "partial 16S ribosomal RNA". It matches the Rfam family "Bacterial small subunit ribosomal RNA", at positions 339 to 795 of the family's 1533-position model. The record is from RNAcentral.
CUACGGGCUGCUCCAGUGGGGAAUAUUGCACAAUGGGCGCAAGCCUGAUGCAGCCAUGCCGCGUGUAUGAAGAAGGCCUUCGGGUUGUAAAGUACUUUCAGCGGGGAGGAAGGGAGUAAAGUUAAUACCUUUGCUCAUUGACGUUACCCGCAGAAGAAGCACCGGCUAACUCCGUGCCAGCAGCCGCGGUAAUACGGAGAGUGCAAGCGUUAAUCGGAAUUACUGGGCGUAAAGCGCACGCAGGCGGUUUGUUAAGUCAGAUGUGAAAUCCCCGGGCUCAACCUGGGAACUGCAUCUGAUACUGGCAAGCUUGAGUCUCGUAGAGGGGGGUAGAAUUCCAGGUGUAGCGGUGAAAUGCGUAGAGAUCUGGAGGAAUACCGGUGGCGAAGGCGGCCCCCUGGACGAAGACUGACGCUCAGGUGCGAAAGCGUGGGGAGCAAACAGGAUUAGAUACCCUCGUAGUC